RNAcentral lists this long non-coding RNA (744 nucleotides) under Rattus norvegicus (Norway rat). RNAcentral describes it as "long non-coding RNA NONRATT016596". The record is from RNAcentral. Lineage: Eukaryota; Metazoa; Chordata; Mammalia; Rodentia; Muridae.
CCUCCUGAUUGCAUGACCCAGCUCAGAGCAACCAGCUCCCUGACCACAGGCCUGCUCCUCAGCCUCCUGUUGUUAUUGGUCCUCGUACUACUUGGUGCCAGCUACUGGUACCGUGCCCGCCUGCAUCAGCGGCUCUGCCAGCUCAAGGGAUCCAGCUGCCAAUAUAGGGCAGCCCAAUCCGGUCCUCCUGAGCGACCAGGACCUCCACAGAGGGCACAGCAGAUGCCAGGCACUAAGGCUGAGCUGGCUGACCGAUCCAAUCCCCCCACUCGCCCUCUGCCCGCUGACCCUGUGGUGUGGCGCCCAAAGCCUCAGGGGCCUACCAAACCCCCACCCCCAAGAAAGCCACUGCCCGCCAACCCACAGGGCCGGCCCCCGCUGGGUGACCUGCCUGGCCCAGGAGAUGGAAGCUUGCAGCUGGUAGUGCCUUCCAGGCCUGCCCCACCACCCCCAGCAGCAUCUUCGCUCUACCUCUGACCCCUCGAGAUUCGGCUGUCUCCUGCUCAGUUCUAGGACUUAAAGUGGAACCUCUGUCUGAAUCUCCCACAAAACACUAGAGAAGCAGAAGCUUAGACAAUAUGGCAUCCAGCCCUAAAGAACCACCAGGCGCUGUUCAGUAGUACCUGGGACCCACUGAAUUACCUGCAGCUGAGUGUUGGGAAGGGGCUGGGGCUGGAGUAGGUGGUGGAAGGACGGGAAUGUGGUCUGUCUCUGCUCUGUUGUAAUAAAUGUGAGGUCUUGGAA